AAACCAACCAAGUCAUGCGCAUCAUCUUUCACUGUUGAGGUUUCACCUUGAUCUUGAGACUGAUUGUAGCCUUUACCUUUGUUGCGGUCAAGCCACUUAUAGCAUUGCUUCUUGACAUGACCCUCUUUUCCGCAGAUCCAGCAGGUUCGCUUACUAUCCUUUGAUUGAGAUCUCGACCUGGACCUGUUCUUAGAUUUGCCAAAAUUCACAGUCCUACCAGUUCUAGAUUCAUUUCUUCCUCUAGCAAAAUGACCUUCUCCAUUAGUCCUAACAGUUGAUGAAUCUUCGUACUCGGUUUCUUUUGAUCUUGCUGCGCUUGCUACUUCAUCUAAUCUGAUAGCUUCCCUACUAUAUUUCAAUGUCUCUUUCAGAGAAUCAUACCUAGAUGGUA
RNAcentral lists this long non-coding RNA (391 nucleotides) under Brassica rapa (field mustard). RNAcentral's name for it is "long non-coding RNA (BRAP_LNC006493)". The record is from RNAcentral. Lineage: Eukaryota; Viridiplantae; Streptophyta; Magnoliopsida; Brassicales; Brassicaceae.